RNAcentral lists this ribosomal RNA (463 nucleotides) under Vreelandella stevensii. Its description in RNAcentral is "partial 16S ribosomal RNA". It matches the Rfam family "Bacterial small subunit ribosomal RNA", at positions 338 to 794 of the family's 1533-position model. Lineage: Bacteria; Pseudomonadati; Pseudomonadota; Gammaproteobacteria; Oceanospirillales; Halomonadaceae. The record is from RNAcentral.
CCUACGGGCGGCAGCAGUGGGGAAUAUUGGACAAUGGGCGAAAGCCUGAUCCAGCCAUGCCGCGUGUGUGAAGAAGGCCUUCGGGUUGUAAAGCACUUUCAGUGGGGAAGAAAGCCUUGGGGCUAAUACCCUCGAGGAAGGACAUCACCCACAGAAGAAGCACCGGCUAACUCCGUGCCAGCAGCCGCGGUAAUACGGAGGGUGCGAGCGUUAAUCGGAAUUACUGGGCGUAAAGCGCGCGUAGGCGGUCUGAUAAGCCGGUUGUGAAAGCCCCGGGCUCAACCUGGGAACGGCAUCCGGAACUGUCAGGCUAGAGUGCAGGAGAGGAAGGUAGAAUUCCCGGUGUAGCGGUGAAAUGCGUAGAGAUCGGGAGGAAUACCAGUGGCGAAGGCGGCCUUCUGGACUGACACUGACGCUGAGGUGCGAAAGCGUGGGUAGCAAACAGGAUUAGUACCCCGGUAGU